This 387-nucleotide ribosomal RNA is filed under the name uncultured bacterium. RNAcentral's name for it is "bacterial SSU rRNA". It matches the Rfam family "Bacterial small subunit ribosomal RNA", at positions 28 to 416 of the family's 1533-position model. The record is from RNAcentral.
GACGAACGCUGGCGGCGUGCUUAACACAUGCAAGUCGAGCGGUGAACCGGAGCUUGCUCCGGGGAUCAGCGGCGAACGGGUGAGUAACACGUGGGCAACCUGCCCUCAGCUCUGGGAUAACUCCGGGAAACCGGGGCUAAUACCGGAUACGACUUCCUGCGGCAUCACGGGAAGUGGAAAGUUUUUCGGCUGAGGAUGGGCCCGCGGCCUAUCAGCUUGUUGGUGGGGUAACGGCCCACCAAGGCGACGACGGGUAGCCGGCCUGAGAGGGCGACCGGCCACACUGGGACUGAGACACGGCCCAGACUCCUACGGGAGGCAGCAGUGGGGAAUAUUGCGCAAUGGGCGAAAGCCUGACGCAGCGACGCCGCGUGAGGGAUGAAGGCC